Molecule: ribosomal RNA, 283 nt
Filed under: Babesia sp. Irk-Ip655
Lineage: Eukaryota; Apicomplexa; Aconoidasida; Piroplasmida; Babesiidae
Description: partial 18S ribosomal RNA
Rfam family: Eukaryotic small subunit ribosomal RNA
Source: RNAcentral
AUACAGGGCAAUUGUCUUGUAAUUGGAAUGAUGGUGACCUAAACCCUCACCAGAGUAACAAUUGGAGGGCAAGUCUGGUGCCAGCAGCCGCGGUAAUUCCAGCUCCAAUAGCGUAUAUUAAACUUGUUGCAGUUAAAAAGCUCGUAGUUGAAUUUCUGCGUUAUCGGUUUCCUUGCUUUAGCCUGGAUUCCAUAGCGCUUUAGGGCUUGUCCCUUUUACUUUGAGAAAAUUAGAGUGUUUCAAGCAGACGUUUGUCUUGAAUACUUCAGCAUGGAAUAAUAGA